This is a long non-coding RNA of Ornithorhynchus anatinus (platypus), 823 nucleotides long. RefSeq lists it as uncharacterized. The transcript is spliced from 2 exons. The record is from RefSeq and is a predicted model, not a curated record. NCBI's taxonomy places the organism in Eukaryota, Metazoa, Chordata, Mammalia, Monotremata, Ornithorhynchidae.
GAGGGAGAGGAGGUAUCGAAUCCUCAUUUUGCAGAGCAGGGAACUGAGGCGUGGAGAAGUAAAGUGACACGGCCGAGGCCGCCCGGCACAACGGGGUUUAGAACCCAGGUCCUCUGGACUCCCAGGCCCGGAGCCCUUGCUGCUAGCUCAGGGAAAUUCGCCGGGAAGCCUACUGCUGCGUAUUCUCAACCGAUGCUAUUCCCGACUGUCCUUUCCUUCGCCGCUGUUCUGGCCGACGCUAACGUUACUGAUCUCAUCAGCUCGUCUUCGCUUGAGGAUCGACCCUCCCAGGUGCCGAGAUCUGGAAGUCUGCAUCGGAAAGCGUUGCCCUUCCCGUUGCAGGCUCGCGGGAGUACGGUACGGUGACUUCCCAAGGGGAGGAUCCCGUGAAGCUCGCUGUGGUUUAUUAGAGGUCUUCGGCACCGAAAGCUGUUGCCGGAAAGGAAGAAGGAGGGAGGGAGGAGAAUACGAGGAUGACUAGCGCCGGUCUAGGUCAUAAAGCACGUUUUAUAUACCUGCGUCAAGGGAACUUCCAGGAGGGAGAACCCAUUCUGUGGUUUCUUCCCGUUCCGGCGGCUGGAAUUAUUUAUAAUGGACUGAACACCGGCGUUGCAGAAAGUACAGGGAGUUUAUGUGUCUUCCCAAAUGACCCAGAAGACCCCUGACCCCAGAAAUCCUCUUCCAGAACCCACUGAUGCUUCCGUUAACGCGUUGAAAGCCGAAACAUUUCUGGUGACAUUUAAGCUCCGUGCCCUUUUUAAUAUUGACACGAGGUACGCGUAUUCCUGGUUAAUAAUAGACUAUUUGCCCCCAGGUGCCUUAA